AGUUGUAUAGCUCAGUGGUAGAGUGCUUGCCUAGCAUGUGUGAGCCCCUGGGAUCGAACCCCAGUGUUACAG
Molecule: transfer RNA, 72 nt
Filed under: Heterocephalus glaber (naked mole-rat)
Lineage: Eukaryota; Metazoa; Chordata; Mammalia; Rodentia; Bathyergidae
Rfam family: tRNA
About the family: Transfer RNA (tRNA) molecules are approximately 80 nucleotides in length. Their secondary structure includes four short double-helical elements and three loops (D, anti-codon, and T loops). Further hydrogen bonds mediate the characteristic L-shaped molecular structure. tRNAs have two regions of fundamental functional importance: the anti-codon, which is responsible for specific mRNA codon recognition, and the 3' end, to which the tRNAs corresponding amino acid is attached (by aminoacyl-tRNA synthetases). tRNAs cope with the degeneracy of the genetic code in two manners: having more than one tRNA (with a specific anti-codon) for a particular amino acid; and 'wobble' base-pairing, i.e. permitting non-standard base-pairing at the 3rd anti-codon position.
Source: Rfam by way of RNAcentral